Molecule: ribosomal RNA, 280 nt
Filed under: uncultured bacterium
Lineage: Bacteria
Description: partial 16S ribosomal RNA
Rfam family: Bacterial small subunit ribosomal RNA
Source: RNAcentral
AACGCUGGCGGCGUGCUUAACACAUGCAAGUCGAACGAACCUUCGGGUUAGUGGCGGACGGGUGAGUAACGCGUGGGAACCUGCCCUCAGGAGGGGGAUAACGGCUGGAAACGGCCGCUAAUACCCCAUAUGCCGAGAGGUGAAAUGAAAUUCGCCUGAGGAUGGGCCCGCGUCUGAUUAGCUAGUUGGUUGCGUAAAGGCCUACCGAGGAGACGAUCAGUAGCUGGUCUGAGAGGAUGAUCAGCCACUUCUCCCUGUGACACGGUACNGACUCCUACGG